GAGGGUAUAGCUCAGUGGUAGAGCACAUGCUUAGCAUGCACAAGGUCCUGGGUUCCUUCCCCAGUACCUCCA
Molecule: transfer RNA, 72 nt
Filed under: Camelus bactrianus (Bactrian camel)
Lineage: Eukaryota; Metazoa; Chordata; Mammalia; Artiodactyla; Camelidae
Also listed under: 3 other names
Rfam family: tRNA
About the family: Transfer RNA (tRNA) molecules are approximately 80 nucleotides in length. Their secondary structure includes four short double-helical elements and three loops (D, anti-codon, and T loops).
Source: Rfam by way of RNAcentral